RNAcentral lists this ribosomal RNA (680 nucleotides) under Salmonella enterica subsp. enterica serovar Muenchen. RNAcentral describes it as "bacterial SSU rRNA". It matches the Rfam family "Bacterial small subunit ribosomal RNA", at positions 865 to 1533 of the family's 1533-position model. Lineage: Bacteria; Pseudomonadati; Pseudomonadota; Gammaproteobacteria; Enterobacterales; Enterobacteriaceae. The record is from RNAcentral.
UAGACCGCCUGGGGAGUACGGCCGCAAGGUUAAAACUCAAAUGAAUUGACGGGGGCCCGCACAAGCGGUGGAGCAUGUGGUUUAAUUCGAUGCAACGCGAAGAACCUUACCUGGUCUUGACAUCCACGGAAAUUUUCAGAGAUGAGAAUGUGCCUUCGGGAACCGUGAGACAGGUGCUGCAUGGCUGUCGUCAGCUCGUGUUGUGAAAUGUUGGGUUAAGUCCCGCAACGAGCGCAACCCUUAUCCUUUGUUGCCAGCGGUCCGGCCGGGAACUCAAAGGAGACUGCCAGUGAUAAACUGGAGGAAGGUGGGGAUGACGUCAAGUCAUCAUGGCCCUUACGACCAGGGCUACACACGUGCUACAAUGGCGCAUACAAAGAGAAGCGACCUCGCGAGAGCAAGCGGACCUCAUAAAGUGCGUCGUAGUCCGGAUUGGAGUCUGCAACUCGACUCCAUGAAGUCGGAAUCGCUAGUAAUCGUGGAUCAGAAUGCCACGGUGAAUACGUUCCCGGGCCUUGUACACACCGCCCGUCACACCAUGGGAGUGGGUUGCAAAAGAAGUAGGUAGCUUAACCUUCGGGAGGGCGCUUACCACUUUGUGAUUCAUGACUGGGGUGAAGUCGUAACAAGGUAACCGUAGGGGAACCUGCGGUUGGAUCACCUCCUUACCUUAAAGAAGC